CUCUUGACAUCCAGCGAACUUUCCAGAGAUGGAUUGGUGCCUUCGGGAACGCUGAGACAGGUGCCGCAUGGCUGUCGUCAGCUCGUGUUGUGAAAUGUUGGGUUAAGUCCCGNAACGAGCGCAACCCUUAUCCUUUGUUGCCAGCGAUUCGGUCGGGAACUCAAAGGAGACUGCCGGUGAUAAACCGGAGGAAGGUGGGGAUGACGUCAAGUCAUCAUGGCCCUUACGAGUAGGGCUACACACGUGCUACAAUGGCGCAUACAAAGAGAAGCGACCUCGCGAGAGCAAGCGGACCUCAUAAAGUGCGUCGUAGUCCGGAUCGGAGUCUGCAACUCGACUCCGUGAAGUCGGAAUCGCUAGUAAUCGUGGAUCAGAAUGCCACGGUGAAUACGUUCCCGGGCCUUGUACACACCGCCCGUCACACCAUGGGAGUGGGUUGCAAAAGAAGUAGGUAGCUUAACCUUCGGGAGGGCGCUUACCACUUUGUGAUUCAUGACUGGGGUGAAGUCGUAACAAGGUAGGCGUAGCGAG
RNAcentral lists this ribosomal RNA (531 nucleotides) under uncultured bacterium. RNAcentral describes it as "bacterial SSU rRNA". It matches the Rfam family "Bacterial small subunit ribosomal RNA", at positions 978 to 1509 of the family's 1533-position model. The record is from RNAcentral.